GGAGUUUGGACCGUGUCUCAGUUCCAAUGUGGGGGACCUUCCUCUCAGAACCCCUACUGAUCGUCGCCUUGGUGGGCCGUUACCCCGCCAACAAGCUAAUCAGACGCAUCCCCAUCCCUUACCGCUAAGCUUUAUUCACCGUCAGAUGCCAUCUAGUGAAACUAUCAGGAGUUAAUCCGGUUUUCACCGGGCUGUCCCCUACCUCAGGGAAGGUUGGAUACGCGUUACUCACCCGUGCGCCGGUCGCCAUCGGAGAUAGCAAGCUACCUCCAUGCUGCCCCUCGACUUGCAUGUGUUAAGCCUGUAGCUAGCGUUCAUC
This 319-nucleotide ribosomal RNA is filed under the name uncultured Prevotella sp. RNAcentral describes it as "partial 16S ribosomal RNA". The record is from RNAcentral. Lineage: Bacteria; Pseudomonadati; Bacteroidota; Bacteroidia; Bacteroidales; Prevotellaceae.